UGCGUAGGCGGGUUUUUAAGUCAGAGGUGAAAUCCUGGAGCUCAACUCCAGAACUGCCUUUGAUACUGAAAGUCUUGAGUAUGGGAGAGGUGAGUGGAACUGCGAGUGUAGAGGUGAAAUUCGUAGAUAUUCGCAAGAACACCAGUGGCGAAGGCGGCUCACUGGCCCAUUACUGACGCUGAGGCACGAAAGCGUGGGAGGCAAACA
Molecule: ribosomal RNA, 207 nt
Filed under: uncultured bacterium
Lineage: Bacteria
Description: partial 16S ribosomal RNA
Rfam family: Bacterial small subunit ribosomal RNA
Source: RNAcentral